CUGGUUGAGAAAGGUUAUGAACUAGUUUCAGGUGGUACUGAGAACGACCAUGUUUUGGUGAAUUUAAAGAACAAGGUAACCAAGGCAACCCUUUUUUUUUUUAGAGAAGCUUUAAAAGCUAUGAAGCAUAGGUGCGUUUCGAGACUCGGGUGCAAGUGCGGGACUCAGCAAUUUUUGAAAAAGUAGGAUGCAGAUGCGGAACCCCGGCUCUUACUUUUAGGGGAUUUGUUGAGGAGGGUUUUGCUAAGGUAGCAGAAUUCUUUGAUGCUUCUGUGAAGUUGGUGGUUAAGAUCAAGGUAGAAACCAAAGCUCAACCCUUGCCGUCCUUGUCACUGGCCUCACCAACUCCGGCCUCACCAUCCUCGUCACCGGUGCCGCUAGCUUCGUCGGAACCCAUGUCUCCAUGGCCCUGAAGCGACAAGGCGAAGGGGUUUUGAAUGGGUCUAUUCGUUGACUUGAAUGGGUCUAAGGCCGAUCGGGGUGGGUGAUGAUCUUGGGUCUUGAAUGGAUCUUGGGUCUGUUCGCCGACUUGAAUGGGUCUAGGGCCGAUCGGUUUUUUUAUCUUGAAUGGGUUUCUGAUCUUGUGUUGGUGGUUGGGUCUGAGAGAGAGAUUGGGGUAGUGAUGAUGGUGGUUAGGUCUGAGAGAGAGAUCGGGGUAGUGAUGAUGAUGGUGGUUGGGUUGGGUCUAAGAGAGAGAUUGGGGUAGUGAUGAUGAUGGUGGUUGGGUUUGAGAGAGAGAGAAGCAGUGAAGAAAAUAAUAAAAAAUUGUAAAAGAAUGAAUAUUUUAUUGAAUAAAUGUGUAGAAUAGAUAAACUGAUGUGGGAGUUUUGUAAAAAUAGAUGUGUAAAAUAGAAAAAGUAGUUUUUUUGUGUAAAAUAGAUGGAAAAUUUGCAUCCACAAUGGAUGCUCUUAUAUAGGGUUAAUUGUGAUGUAAA
This is a long non-coding RNA of Quercus robur (English oak), 935 nucleotides long. RefSeq lists it as uncharacterized. The record is from RefSeq and is a predicted model, not a curated record. The transcript has 3 exons. Lineage: Eukaryota; Viridiplantae; Streptophyta; Magnoliopsida; Fagales; Fagaceae.